RNAcentral lists this long non-coding RNA (234 nucleotides) under Chinchilla lanigera (long-tailed chinchilla). Its description in RNAcentral is "lncRNA (ENSCLAG00000023921.1)". Lineage: Eukaryota; Metazoa; Chordata; Mammalia; Rodentia; Chinchillidae. The record is from RNAcentral.
CAUCUUGACUAAUCUGCAAUGCCAAUUCUCUGCACCUUACUCCAGUGAGAGCCACAUAAAGUGAGGUGCAGACCUAGGGAAAUGGAAUCUCCACAGUGGAAACAGACAGAGUUGAGCAUUUGAAAAUGGAAACAAAGGAAAUUUGGAAGGAAAUGCAUGACUAUGAUAAGUCUUUUAUAUUCUCCUGAUCCAAGGGAGAUUUGCAGCUUACACAGAAGGAUAUAGAAGGAGAGG